Molecule: ribosomal RNA, 425 nt
Filed under: uncultured prokaryote
Description: bacterial SSU rRNA
Rfam family: Bacterial small subunit ribosomal RNA
Source: RNAcentral
UGAGGAAUAUUGGACAAUGGGGGCAACCCUGAUCCAGCAACGCCGCGUGGGGGAUGACGGUCUUUGGAUUGUAAACCCCUUUUCUCAGGGAAGAGGAAGGACGGUACCUGAGGAAUAAGUCACGGCUAACUACGUGCCAGCAGCCGCGGUAAUACGUAGGUGGCGAGCGUUAUCCGGAAUUACUGGGCGUAAAGCGCACGCAGGCGGUCAUUCAAGUCUGACGUGAAAGCUCCUGGCUUAACUGGGAGAGGUCGUUGGAAACUGGAUGGCUUGAGGCAAUGAGAGGGGUGCAGAAUUCCCGGUGUAGUGGUGGAAUGCGUAGAUAUCGGGAGGAAUACCAGUGGCGAAAGCGGCACCCUAGCAUUGGCCUGACGCUCAGGUGCGAAAGCGUGGGGAGCGAACGGGAUUAGAUACCCCCGUAGUCC